RNAcentral lists this ribosomal RNA (2906 nucleotides) under Salmonella enterica. RNAcentral describes it as "23S ribosomal RNA". It matches the Rfam family "Bacterial large subunit ribosomal RNA". RNAcentral also lists the same sequence under 1 other name. The record is from RNAcentral. Lineage: Bacteria; Pseudomonadati; Pseudomonadota; Gammaproteobacteria; Enterobacterales; Enterobacteriaceae.
GGUUAAGCGACUAAGCGUACACGGUGGAUGCCCUGGCAGUCAGAGGCGAUGAAGGGCGUGCUAAUCUGCGAUAAGCGCCGGUAAGGUGAUAUGAACCGUUAUAACCGGCGAUACCCGAAUGGGGAAACCCAGUGUGACUCGUCACACUAUCAUUAACUGAAUCCAUAGGUUAAUGAGGCGAACCGGGGGAACUGAAACAUCUAAGUACCCCGAGGAAAAGAAAUCAACCGAGAUUCCCCCAGUAGCGGCGAGCGAACGGGGAGGAGCCCAGAGCCUGAAUCAGCAUGUGUGUUAGUGGAAGCGUCUGGAAAGGCGCGCGAUACAGGGUGACAGCCCCGUACACAAAAGCGCAUGUGCUGUGAGCUCGAUGAGUAGGGCGGGACACGUGGUAUCCUGUCUGAAUAUGGGGGGACCAUCCUCCAAGGCUAAAUACUCCUGACUGACCGAUAGUGAACCAGUACCGUGAGGGAAAGGCGAAAAGAACCCCGGCGAGGGGAGUGAAAAAGAACCUGAAACCGUGUACGUACAAGCAGUGGGAGCACCCUUUGGGGUGUGACUGCGUACCUUUUGUAUAAUGGGUCAGCGACUUAUAUUCUGUAGCAAGGUUAACCGAAUAGGGGAGCCGGAGGGAAACCGAGUCUUAACCGGGCGUUAAGUUGCAGGGUAUAGACCCGAAACCCGGUGAUCUAGCCAUGGGCAGGUUGAAGGUUGGGUAACACUAACUGGAGGACCGAACCGACUAAUGUUGAAAAAUUAGCGGAUGACCUGUGGCUGGGGGUGAAAGGCCAAUCAAACCGGGAGAUAGCUGGUUCUCCCCGAAAGCUAUUUAGGUAGCGCCUCGUGAAUUCAUCUCCGGGGGUAGAGCACUGUUUCGGCUAGGGGGCCAUCCCGGCUUACCAACCCGAUGCAAACUGCGAAUACCGGAGAAUGUUAUCACGGGAGACACACGGCGGGUGCUAACGUCCGUCGUGAAGAGGGAAACAACCCAGACCGCCAGCUAAGGUCCCAAAGUCAUGGUUAAGUGGGAAACGAUGUGGGAAGGCCCAGACAGCCAGGAUGUUGGCUUAGAAGCAGCCAUCAUUUAAAGAAAGCGUAAUAGCUCACUGGUCGAGUCGGCCUGCGCGGAAGAUGUAACGGGGCUAAACCAUGCACCGAAGCUGCGGCAGCGACGCUGAUGCGUUGUUGGGUAGGGGAGCGUUCUGUAAGCCUGCGAAGGUGUGUCGUGAGGCAUGCUGGAGGUAUCAGAAGUGCGAAUGCUGACAUAAGUAACGAUAAAGCGGGUGAAAAGCCCGCUCGCCGGAAGACCAAGGGUUCCUGUCCAACGUUAAUCGGGGCAGGGUGAGUCGACCCCUAAGGCGAGGCCGAAAGGCGUAGUCGAUGGGAAACGGGUUAAUAUUCCCGUACUUGGUGUUACUGCGAAGGGGGGACGGAGAAGGCUAUGUUGGCCGGGCGACGGUUGUCCCGGUUUAAGCGUGUAGGUGUGUGUUCCAGGUAAAUCCGGUUCACUUUAACACUGAGGCGUGAUGACGAGGCACUACGGUGCUGAAGCAACAAAUGCCCUGCUUCCAGGAAAAGCCUCUAAGCAUCAGGUAACAUCAAAUCGUACCCCAAACCGACACAGGUGGUCAGGUAGAGAAUACCAAGGCGCUUGAGAGAACUCGGGUGAAGGAACUAGGCAAAAUGGUGCCGUAACUUCGGGAGAAGGCACGCUGACACGUAGGUGAAGUGAUUUACUCAUGGAGCUGAAGUCAGUCGAAGAUACCAGCUGGCUGCAACUGUUUAUUAAAAACACAGCACUGUGCAAACACGAAAGUGGACGUAUACGGUGUGACGCCUGCCCGGUGCCGGAAGGUUAAUUGAUGGGGUCAGCGCAAGCGAAGCUCCUGAUCGAAGCCCCGGUAAACGGCGGCCGUAACUAUAACGGUCCUAAGGUAGCGAAAUUCCUUGUCGGGUAAGUUCCGACCUGCACGAAUGGCGUAAUGAUGGCCAGGCUGUCUCCACCCGAGACUCAGUGAAAUUGAACUCGCUGUGAAGAUGCAGUGUACCCGCGGCAAGACGGAAAGACCCCGUGAACCUUUACUAUAGCUUGACACUGAACAUUGAGCCUUGAUGUGUAGGAUAGGUGGGAGGCUUUGAAGUGUGGACGCCAGUCUGCAUGGAGCCGGCCUUGAAAUACCACCCUUUAAUGUUUGAUGUUCUAACGUGGACCCGUGAUCCGGGUUGCGGACAGUGUCUGGUGGGUAGUUUGACUGGGGCGGUCUCCUCCUAAAGAGUAACGGAGGAGCACGAAGGUUGGCUAAUCCUGGUCGGACAUCAGGAGGUUAGUGCAAUGGCAUAAGCCAGCUUGACUGCGAGCGUGACGGCGCGAGCAGGUGCGAAAGCAGGUCAUAGUGAUCCGGUGGUUCUGAAUGGAAGGGCCAUCGCUCAACGGAUAAAAGGUACUCCGGGGAUAACAGGCUGAUACCGCCCAAGAGUUCAUAUCGACGGCGGUGUUUGGCACCUCGAUGUCGGCUCAUCACAUCCUGGGGCUGAAGUAGGUCCCAAGGGUAUGGCUGUUCGCCAUUUAAAGUGGUACGCGAGCUGGGUUUAGAACGUCGUGAGACAGUUCGGUCCCUAUCUGCCGUGGGCGCUGGAGAACUGAGGGGGGCUGCUCCUAGUACGAGAGGACCGGAGUGGACGCAUCACUGGUGUUCGGGUUGUCAUGCCAAUGGCACUGCCCGGUAGCUAAAUGCGGAAGAGAUAAGUGCUGAAAGCAUCUAAGCACGAAACUUGCCCCGAGAUGAGUUCUCCCUGAGACUUAGAGUCUCCUGAAGGAACGUUGAAGACGACGACGUUGAUAGGCCGGGUGUGUAAGCGCAGCGAUGCGUUGAGCUAACCGGUACUAAUGAACCGUGAGGCUUAACCUU